GUGCUUGCCUCAGCAAUACAUAUACUAAAAUUGGACUGAUAUACAGAACAUUAUCAUGGAUGCUGCACAAAGAUGACACAAAUUUUUGAAGCAUUCUAUAUUUUA
Molecule: small nuclear RNA, 105 nt
Organism: Gracilinanus agilis (Agile Gracile Mouse Opossum)
Lineage: Eukaryota; Metazoa; Chordata; Mammalia; Didelphimorphia; Didelphidae
Source: RefSeq, a predicted model, not a curated record